Molecule: long non-coding RNA, 2602 nt
Organism: Passer montanus (Eurasian tree sparrow)
Lineage: Eukaryota; Metazoa; Chordata; Aves; Passeriformes; Passeridae
Exons: 3
Source: RefSeq, a predicted model, not a curated record
GCGAGCAGCCGCUGGGGCCCGCGGCCCGCGCGGGUGCGGAGCUCCGCCCGCUCCCGGUUCCGCCCGCUCCCGGCGGGCCGAGCCUCCGCGGCCCGUGCGAUAACCCCCGGUUCCGGGAACGCGGCGCUCGGGUUCCUGCAUGUAAUGAAAAACCAGAGUUACUGAGAGCAGCCAGCACCUGCCAAAAUCUGCUUCAGUGAGGAGUGGCCUGAGCUCACCAAAUGGAUGGUCAGAGCCUUCAAGCUGUUGGAUGUCCAAGCACUAAACUUAAGGGUCACAGCUGAAGGAAUUGAAGGAACCCAGCAAAAGAGUGCACUGUGCUUCUAGAGUCCCAAGUGUCUGUGGAGAAACAGCCCCAUGCAGCUGCUCACAGCAAGCCCUUGCCCUUAGAGAAGACACACUGCCAGAGCCAGGGGAGGCUCCAGCUUGCACCCGUGUCCAGCACAGCCUCUGGUGGCUGCCAGGAGCUCAGGUGGAGUCGCAGGACAGGCUAAGGCAAGGGCAGAGCCUGCCAGGGUGUGCUGCUGCUGCCAGGUGACACCCAGAGCAGAGCAGCUCCCAGGGAAGCUGCUUUGCAGGGCAGCCUGGCUCGGGCAGCUUCAGCGCUGGCAAUUUGCACUGGUUUCUCUCAGACCUGCAAAACGUUCUGGAUGGUUCUGACAUGGGUUUGUCUCUCCCUGGCACCGAAUCCAGACUGGGGAAAUGGCCAGAGCACACCUGCAGCAAUGCCACCCAUCACUGGGGAAGGGGCAGGUCCCUGGGCCACCCGGAAUAGCCACGUGCUGCUGCCAAAGUCACAGCAAGGUUGUACGAGCUGGUGUCUGUAUUUCAGUGUGCCUGGCAAAUGUACAAAACUCUAAAAGCCUGAAAUCUGAUCUGCACAUGGUGGAGAAGUCAAUACUCCUCCCUCCACCGAGACCUUGGUGAGGUAGGAUAUUGUGGCUGAGUGCUGGAGCACUCCAGAGUGCAGCUGUGGCAAAAUGCAAAGCUGGGGGCAGGUUGGGGGAUACAGCGGCACAAAGGCUGCAGUUUGUGCAGGUAUUGCACCACAAGGCCUUGACAAAAAUGUCAGAUGCUACAGACAAUUUUCUGGUAAUCAGGGCAAGCAAAGCACAAAAUAAACAGUGUGUCCUGACCUUUCAGCUGCCAAAUCAUUCACCUAUUUUAAAUCUACAAGUAAAUUUAGUUCUGACAUUACAGAACAGCUGAAGAUACUUGUUUAAAUCAGCCACAUACACUGCAAGUUUUCCACAGGCACAGGAGCAUUAACACCAGGCAGCAGCACCUCCUGCUCCUGCCUGGACAGAUGCUAUGGGUCUACACUGAUGGGCCUAAUUUAAAUGGUUAGUUAAGGGAAAAGAGCAUUGACUAUAGACUGGAAAUGAACAGCAGCCUUUAGAUCCACAAGUCCAAAUCAACUGUCAGGAGGUCCAUAAUGGUUUUUUGGGGGCAGAAGGAGAACAUAUGGCCGGGCUGUCUCUGGUGAUCUUAUUGCCCCUUGUUUUCACAGGGAAAGUCAGAGAAAUUAAUCUGAAUUAAUAAUACCUGUGACUUGAAAGUUACACGUGUGAGUUUUGUUACUCAAAGUGGCCUUCAUUUGAUUUAGCUUUCUUCAUUUUCCAAGUAAAGUACAGUAAAUCAGAUUAAUGCCACUUAAUUCUGAAUAUGAAUAUCUGCAUAGGUCUUAAUAGAAUUUAACUAAUCUACUUUAAAAUAUCAUUCAGCUCAGGUUCCCUGAGUGUCCCCUUCAAGGAAAGACAUCAAUAGACUUAAUGGGAAUUGUUCCUCGAUUGUUUGGCAUGAGAUCAAAACAUCACUAUCAUAAAAACAGUCACAUCUUGCUUGGAUGUCUUUGUUCUGAGAGCAUUAACACCCGACCCAGAGCUGAAUGUAUACCUGCUGAAAUGGAAGCAGAAAUGGCAGUGUGGAGUGAGCUUUUAGUUACAAAAGAGGGAAAACACUGACUUUGUUUUUUCCAGCUGAGAUGGAGAACAGGCAUAGGUGGUCAGGGUAAUUUCCCUGUUCUGAAGGUGUAAACAAUAUGCAUUGUUUUCAUAAGGCUGAUAUAACUUAGGCUGUUGUGCAGUUCUAGACUGUAAUUUCAAACCUGAAAGUUGCUAGAACUUUUAUUUACAUGAACUUCACUGAGGUGUGAGGAACUGCUGUCUCUGUGACAGUAACUUGGAACCUUCCACUGAGCAGUGGCAUCCUCAUGGCCCAUAUCUGCACAUCUCCUUUUUCCAGUUGAGCUUUGCUGGGUAGGCUGGGCUUAAACAGUGAGAACAUGAAGGUGCAGUCACACCCUGGAACAAACAAGAGCCCAGCUUUGAAAGCAAACACAGGACUGGUGUUUCCCCAGGUUAAAGAACUGCCUCUGACAGGGCACUCAGUGCCUGUCCAGGCACACAAAAUGACCACAGCCAAGAUUCAAUCCUUCCCUGCUCUCCCUACAGCCAACCACCAGAGGCAGCUCCAUCCCGGCCCAUUUCUCCAACCCAGCCUCCAAAGCCAAAAGUUCUCAGUGCCUCCACAGCUGGAUUCUUGUUCUGGACUUCAUUCACAUCCUCCUUUAGCACUUUAGGAGGAAGAUCUCAGCACACAG